GACGAACGCUGGCGGCGCGCUUAACACAUGCAAGUCGAACGGAAAGGCCUGCUUUCCCUUGUGGAUUGCGGGUACUCGAGUGGCGAACGGGUGAGUAACACGUGAGUGAUCUGCCCCCAACUUGGGUAUAAGCCUGGGAAACUGGGUCUAAUUCCCGAUAGGACUGCAGGGUGGUGCCUGUGGUGGAAAACGAUUUUCUAGUGGUUGGGGAUGAGCUCGCGGCCUAUCAGCUUGUUGGUGGGGUAAUGGCCUACCAAGGCGGCGACGGGUAGCCGGCCUGGGAGGGUGGACGGCCACAUUGGGACUGAGAUACGGCCCAGACUCCUACGGGAGGCAGCAGUGGGGAAUAUUGCACAAUGGGCGGAAGCCUGAUGCAGCGACGCCGCGUGGGGGAUGACGGCCUUCGGGUUGUAAACUCCUUUCGACCGAGAGGAAGCCACCUGGUUGGAAGGGUGGUGACGGUAGUGGUAGAAGAAGCACCGGCUAACUACGUG
Molecule: ribosomal RNA, 494 nt
Filed under: uncultured bacterium
Lineage: Bacteria
Description: partial 16S ribosomal RNA
Rfam family: Bacterial small subunit ribosomal RNA
Source: RNAcentral